RNAcentral lists this long non-coding RNA (237 nucleotides) under Physcomitrium patens. RNAcentral's name for it is "long non-coding RNA (PPAT_LNC000281)". The record is from RNAcentral. Lineage: Eukaryota; Viridiplantae; Streptophyta; Bryopsida; Funariales; Funariaceae.
UCUCUUGGAGCUCUAGCUCACCUCUUUGGUGUUGUUCUCAUCUAAUUAAUCUAGUUCUUGCGAGUUCUUCUUGAACUUCUUGUUAGAUCUUGAGUCUAUAUUUUUGUGUCCAUGACAUAAAGUAAGUGCUUCUUAGAGGUUAAGAAAGUGAACCGUCAUUAUGCACUUUACUUGAAGUUGGUCAUUGUCCAUUGCUUUGUCUUCAUCAUGAGCUUGCUAAUACUAACUUGUGAAGGU